This 1778-nucleotide long non-coding RNA is filed under the name Sus scrofa (pig). RNAcentral's name for it is "lncRNA (ENSSSCG00005001301.1)". Lineage: Eukaryota; Metazoa; Chordata; Mammalia; Artiodactyla; Suidae. The record is from RNAcentral.
GCAGGUGUGGCCCCCCCCAAAAAAAAAAAACCCCAAAACUAGGACGCUCUGGAGGGAGACCCGCCCAGGUGGAGAGUAAAGGGUCGAUAACGUUUGUGGAAGCGACAAUGUGCCUGGGGCUUCUGAUAACUCUCAUUGUCUUUUGCGUGCUGGAACUGCUUGCAUUAAAGUUUUUUUUUAAAAAAACGUGAGAUGGGAAAAUAUGACUGAUUUACAAUUGGUGUCUCCAUUUAUUAGAUGCAUGCAAAAGCAGCAUCCGUAGGGGGGUGCGCACAUGAGGGGCCUGAGUCUUUGGAUCCACAGGCACCGCUCGAUUGCAAUUCCCCGCGCCUCCCCGGACCCCGCCCUCCAGGUCCGAGUCAUUCAUUCAUUCAUUCAUUCUGACAUUUGAGUGCCCGCCCGCGUCACACCCUCUGGAGGCAUCCUGGGUAACAUCUGCCCUCUGCACCUGUCCGUGGGGGGGGGGGAGUAGGAGACAGACCUUAAAGAGGACACCUGAGUCCCCAGCGUGUCGCCCCUCCCCCACGUUCCUUGCAGGGUCCUCCCGCGUUUCCACCAGGCGCCUUCCCCUCGAAGUCCCCGCACCGCUCACCAGAUCCGGUCAGUUAAAGGCAGGGCCUGAUCCAGUCUCAGGCCGGAGUCCCAGGACUGACUCAUGGCCUGGCUUCUGGCACGUGCCCGCGCCCCCAAGCCUCCCCAGAUGCCACCCUCAUCACUUGCAUGACUCAUUCGGAGCCAUCAGCUGAAACCUGAUCACCUUUGAACACCUCCUCCGGUUCUUUUAGUUAAGGCACCCACUUUCUAGAUGCUCCCACACCAUCCACGUCCUAAGUCAACCUUGGGAGAGCGGUGAGGAAUGGGGGACACGCCCACUUCCCCGCCCACACCCCAGGGGUCUUGGAAAUGGACCCCACCUCUGGGCAUCCUCGGUCCCCUUUGUAAUCCCAAUUGCACAGUCCACCUCGCCCCUCCCUGCCCAGGUUCCUGGUGCGUGUGGCCCUGCCGCCCCCCCCUUCAGCCCAGGUGCAGCACAAGGACCAAGUCAUCCUCCCCCUCCCCCCUCCUAAGCACGGAGGACAGAUGGGUCUGAGCUCGAGGCCUGCGUGAAAAGCUUAUUUUUAUUUAUUUUCUUAGCCGCACCCAUGGCAUGUAUAAGUUCCCAGGCCAAGGAUCGAACCCGCGCCACAGCAGGACCCGAGCCGCUGCAGUGACAACGCUGGAUCUUUAACUCGCUGCGCCACCUGAAAUGCUUUUUAGGGAAAAACGUGUUCUGAACUUAACAGAGAUCCCACUCCUUCCUCGCUCCCAGAAGCGCUGGUGGAGCACCGAUGGUGGCGGCGGGCCCAGAGCCCCGAGGACGCUGCGGGCGGGGGCGCGCCGGGCCCCGCAGGGCCGUUUUCCGUCCCCCAGUCCCAAGAAGCCUCAGGAAGUGCUGGAACUUCAAGGCCCUCCCCCACAGCCAUCUUUACCUGAGCGACUGGAGCUGCUAUCACCCCGGCAGCUGGACCAGCCUCCGGGCCCCGCCCCUUACCUGCCUCUCCCGGGAGGUCAAUAGAGGACAGAUGAAGGUUGUGUAAGGACACGGGGAUGGAAAAAUGGCAGGUGCCCAGGGCUGGGGGGGGGCCUUCCUUGGCAUCCAUGCACACAGCAUCGCCUGCUAGGGGGGACAGGGGAAAACCCCGCCCAAAAAAGGGGGGAAGGACAGAGGAAAAAAAGCGUAAGGUAAUGAGAAAAACAGAAAUCGAGAAGCAGGGAGGGAGGGAAAUAAAAAUACAAGA